GAAAUUUGGACAAAGGGCGAAUGCCUGAGCCAGCAAUGCGGCGUGCAGGGUGAAAGCCUCCGGGUUGUAAACUGCUUUUGUACGGAACGGAAAGCUUUGGGUUAAUACCCUGGUGUCCUGACGCUACAGCAAGAAGAACCACCGGCUUACUACGUGCCCGCCGCCGCGGUAAUACGUAGGGUGCAAGCGUUCAUCGGAAUUACUGGGCCUAAAGCGGGCGCAGGCGGUUUUGUAAGACAGAGGUGAAAUCCCCGGGCUCAACCGUGGAACUGCCGUUGUGACUGCGAGGCUAGAGUACGGCAGAGGGGGGUGGAAUUCGGCGUGUAGCAGUGAAAUGCGUAGAUAUGCGGAGGAACACCGAUGGCGAAGGCAACCCCCUGUGCCUGUACUGACGCUCAUGCACGAAGGCGUGGGGAGCAAACA
RNAcentral lists this ribosomal RNA (423 nucleotides) under uncultured bacterium. RNAcentral describes it as "partial 16S ribosomal RNA". It matches the Rfam family "Bacterial small subunit ribosomal RNA", at positions 359 to 774 of the family's 1533-position model. The record is from RNAcentral.